This 466-nucleotide ribosomal RNA is filed under the name uncultured bacterium. RNAcentral's name for it is "partial 16S ribosomal RNA". It matches the Rfam family "Bacterial small subunit ribosomal RNA", at positions 28 to 507 of the family's 1533-position model. The record is from RNAcentral.
GAUGAACGCUGGCGGCGUGCUUAACACAUGCAAGUCGAACGAUGAAGCCCAGCUUGCUGGGUGGAUUAGUGGCGAACGGGUGAGUAACACGUGAGUAACCUGCCCUUGACCCUGGGAUAAGCCUGGCAAACUGGGUCUAAUACUGGAUAUGACUUCUCAUCGCAUGGUGGGGGGUGGAAAGAUUUAUUGGUCUUGGAUGGACUCGCGGCCUAUCAGCUUGUUGGUGAGGUACUGGCUCACCAAGGCGACGACGGGUAGCCGGCCUGAGAGGGUGACCGGCCACACUGGGACUGAGACACGGCCCAGACUCCUACGGGAGGCAGCAGUGGGGAAUAUUGCACAAUGGGCGCAAGCCUGAUGCAGCGACGCCGCGUGAGGGAUGACGGCCUUCGGGUUGUAAACCUCUUUCAGUAGGGAAGAAGCGAGAGUGACGGUACCUGCAGAAGAAGCGCCGGCUAACUACGUG